UUCCUUUUAAUGGACAAUUUUUUAACAAUUAUUAUAAUUUGAUUUAUUAGACCAUUUCUUUCCCUAUUUUGUUAAAUGUCAAUUAAUUCGUCAUUAAGGCAAGACCACAAUAAUAUUACAAUGUGUGUGUAUAAAUAUGCACCUCAAAGAGAAAAGGAGAGAGGGAAAAAAAUCCAAUUUGGAGAGGAUAAAAAUUGAACUUCAGGAAGAGAGCAUAAGGGAAAAAAAAAAGAGAAAGAAAAAAAAAUCCAAUUUCGGGAAGAGAACAUAAGGGAACAGGAAAAAUAGAAGGAGAGUUUUCUAGUUGUUAAGAAACUUUGAACCCAACCCCUUUUUCCCCUUUCUUUCUAUUUUGUUGCGUCGUUUUUUUCCUUUUCUGCUUGAUUCUCUUACUUCUUUCUUUUAUUUGCUUAUUUAUUUCAUUUCUAUUUUUUAUUUUUGUCUUUGUUUUUAUUACAUUUUAUCAUUAUUUUUUCUUUUUUUUUCUCCUGGUUUUGGUCUCAAACUUUUCUUCACCAAUUGUAAUUUAUGCAUGUUUGGUUUCUUUAUAUUCAUUUUUUUUAUGCAACCAUAAUAUAUCAACCCAUUUUUUUCCACACGUACAUUUUAUCUAUA
This 615-nucleotide long non-coding RNA is filed under the name Vigna radiata. RNAcentral describes it as "long non-coding RNA (VRAD_LNC000880)". The record is from RNAcentral. Lineage: Eukaryota; Viridiplantae; Streptophyta; Magnoliopsida; Fabales; Fabaceae.